GGGCCCCGGGGCGCAGCAGUGGGGAAUAUUGCGCAAUGGGCGAAAGCCUGACGCAGCGACGCCGCGUGAGGGAUGAAGGUCUUCGGAUCGUAAACCUCUGUCAGCAGGGAAGAACGGUCACUGUGCUAAUCAGCAGUGAAUUGACGGUACCUGCAAAGGAAGCACCGGCUGACUCCGUGCCAGCAGCCGCGGUAAUACGGAGGGUGCGAGCGUUAAUCGGAAUUACUGGGCGUAAAGCGCUCGUCGGCGGGAUGUCAAGUCAAGGGGGAAAUCCCCGCGCUCAAAG
This 286-nucleotide ribosomal RNA is filed under the name uncultured bacterium. RNAcentral's name for it is "partial 16S ribosomal RNA". It matches the Rfam family "Bacterial small subunit ribosomal RNA", at positions 334 to 614 of the family's 1533-position model. The record is from RNAcentral.